GUGGAUUUUGUCCCCCAGGUCCACUGAAACAACAGGAGAAAGAGAUUUCCUCAUUGCCAGACUGAGCAUAAGGAACCAACCCUUUCUAAUAACAUAAUGAGAGAUCUGUAAAUAUACAAAAGGUCUGGUAUUCAAUUCCGUUUAAAUCAGGAUGCACCAGCCAGACCAGUUUACCUCCCCACUGGGUGUGGUUUACCUUGAAAAAGUCCACUAAUCAUGACUUUGCACAUUAUUCAGCUCAUCUCCAGACUGAAAGUUUACAGCUCUACAUCAACUACACGCCUAAACAAAUCAGCCGCAAGCCAUGGCUACAGUCACGAUUGAAUAUUGUGCUGGAUGAAGUUACGCGUACCGCUACCGGGAGCUAGCCCACAUGCUCGGGCGGGUUCCUGGCGUGCAGGUGACGGGAGCCAGAGGGAAACCAAACAGCUUUGAGGUGUCAGUGAAUGGAAAACUGAUCUUCUCCAAGCUUAAGACAGGACGUUUUCCCAUUCCUCAGCAGGUGUUUGAGACGGUGAACGAGAUGGUCCAUGGAAGAAAAUAAGGGAUGAAAACUACACAUCACUACAACAGUAACUUACCGAAGAUGUAGGAUGAAAUAACAACCUUAUUUACACCGCAGCAACAAUUGUUUGCUUUUCUGUGGCUCAGGCUGCAUUCACUCACCAAUCUGAAUACAAAACUGAUCUCAAACAUUGAAAUAUGACAUUAAAAAACAGAUUUGACCAUUGACCAAAUAGACCAUACUGCUGUGAAUGCAAAGACAAGACGAUGAUGACAGCAGCUGUUAGGAACCAGACUCUCAUCUGCCCUUCUGUCUAUGACUGCACACACUAAAACAUAUGUAAGUGUGUACACGAUGCAAGUUGAGAAGGCUUUGAGCCAGCUGGAGCCUGAGGAGGUGCUCUCAUCACGUCUAUCUGCUACGUGCUCAGGAAAAAAUGUCUCUACAAAUGAACGGAAAAUCAGAGCCACAUUUUUCUUAUUUUAUUUUUUAGCUUUUCUCUGUGUGGAUAACUCUAACAGUUUCAGAUCUGUAAAGGAAUAGUUUGACUUUUUUGGAAUUACUCUUAUUAACUUAAGAUUUAGCCAUGAGAAGAUCAGUUCAAAAGAUAGUUAGGUUAGCUCAUCAAAAAGAUCGCAAGUGCUGAAACAACAAAUCUGCCUACCAGGACCUUUAAAACUCACAGAUAAACGAGUUUUAUUUGAUGCGUACAAAAUACCCAAGUGUAAAAUAUGCUGUUUAACAGGACAUUAUGUGCUAGACUAUUUCUGGGAUCAGUAACUUCUUGGUGUCCCCGCUGUCCAGAUCAAGCAAUAGUCCGGGUCAUAACCCCCAGGAAAAUGGUGAAUUGUCAUUUUCACACUUAUUUUUAAAUCCAACAAAAAAGAUAAAACAUGUUGAUUAUUAAGCUUCAGAGGGGCUGGUUUGUGGGAUUUGUUCCCUUCAGACAGAGCCAGGGUAGUUGCUUCCCGUCUUUGUAAGUUAAGGCUAAGUUAAGCUAAGCUGACCAGUUGCUGGCUGUAUCUUCCUGUGUAGUGUGCAGAUGUGAAAAAGGUUUUGGUCUUUUCACCUAAGUCUUGUCAAGAAAGCAAAUAAGUGUAAUUCCAAAAAUGUCAAACUAUUGUUUCAGUCUUUUUGUGUUUAGGCAUAAUAUAUGUCGCUAUAAUUUCCUCUGUGAUUUGGAAACAAUCCUUCUUUAUCAAAUUUUUAAUGAACACCAAUGACAAACUUUUCCUGAAAUGUAAUAAAACAGAACUGAAAAAGAAAA
This is a long non-coding RNA of Scatophagus argus, 1772 nucleotides long. RefSeq lists it as uncharacterized. The transcript is spliced from 4 exons. NCBI's taxonomy places the organism in Eukaryota, Metazoa, Chordata, Actinopteri, Scatophagidae. The record is from RefSeq and is a predicted model, not a curated record.